GAUGAACGCUAGCUACAGGCUUAACACAUGCAAGUCGAGGGGUAACGAGAGGAAAGCUUGCUUUCCUUGUCGACGACCGGCGCACGGGUGAGUAACGCGUAUCCAACCUGCCCCCAACUAGGGAAUAACCUUGCGAAAGUAAGACUCAUACCCUAUACUUUCCUCAGAUGUCAUCUGACGAGGAAUAAAGAUUUAUCGGUUGGGGAUGGGGAUGCGUCUGAUUAGCUUGUUGGCGGGGUAACGGCCCACCAAGGCAACGAUCAGUAGGGGUUCUGAGAGGAAGGUCCCCCACAUUGGAACUGAGACACGGUCCAAACUCCUACGGGAGGCAGCAGUGAGGAAUAUUGGUCAAUGGGCGGAAGCCUGAACCAGCCAAGUAGCGUGCAGGAUGACGGCCCUAUGGGUUGUAAACUGCUUUUAUACAGGAAUAAAGUUAGCCACGUGUGGUUAUUUGUAGGUACUGUAUGAAUAAGGACCGGCUAAUUCCGUGCCAGCCGCCGCGGUAA
This 506-nucleotide ribosomal RNA is filed under the name uncultured bacterium. RNAcentral describes it as "partial 16S ribosomal RNA". It matches the Rfam family "Bacterial small subunit ribosomal RNA", at positions 28 to 523 of the family's 1533-position model. The record is from RNAcentral.